GUCCCCGUAGCUCAGUCGGAUAGAGCAACGGAUUCCUAAUCCGUAGGCCGUGCGUUCAAAUCGCGCCGGGGACGCCA
Molecule: transfer RNA, 77 nt
Filed under: Magnetococcales bacterium
Lineage: Bacteria; Pseudomonadati; Pseudomonadota; Magnetococcia; Magnetococcales
Description: tRNA-Arg
Rfam family: tRNA
About the family: Transfer RNA (tRNA) molecules are approximately 80 nucleotides in length. Their secondary structure includes four short double-helical elements and three loops (D, anti-codon, and T loops).
Source: RNAcentral